GGGUCAGUAGGUUGGUCGUGCCACCGGUACGUACUGGUCUCACUGAUUCCUCCUUCCUGAAGAACCGUAAUGCCAUUAAUUUGGUGUUGCGGGGAAACAGGACUGUUAUUUUGAAAAAAUUAGAGUGUUUAAAGCAAGCUAACGCUUGAAUACAUUAGCAUGGAAUAAUGAAAUAGGACGAUCGAUCCUAUUUUGUCGGUUUCUAGGAUUGACGUA
This 216-nucleotide ribosomal RNA is filed under the name Glomeromycotina sp. RNAcentral's name for it is "partial small subunit ribosomal RNA". The stretch from base 40 to 216 matches the Rfam family "Eukaryotic small subunit ribosomal RNA", at positions 686 to 864 of the family's 1831-position model. The record is from RNAcentral. Lineage: Eukaryota; Fungi; Glomeromycota.